RNAcentral lists this long non-coding RNA (5565 nucleotides) under Canis lupus familiaris (dog). Its description in RNAcentral is "lncRNA (ENSCAFG00845006692.1)". The record is from RNAcentral. Lineage: Eukaryota; Metazoa; Chordata; Mammalia; Carnivora; Canidae.
UUUUUUUUUUUUUUUUAAAGAAAAGUCUGAAGCUAGCAGAUAUUGGUUCAUGAGGUUUAAGGAAAGCCUUUCCAACAACAUAAAAGUGCAAGGUGAAGCAGCAAGUGCUGAUGCAGAAGCUCCAAGUUAUCCAGAAGAUCUAGUUAAGAAAGUAAUGAUGGUAACUGCACUAAACAACAGAUUUUCAAAGUAGACAAAACAGCCCUCUACUGAAAGAAUCUGCUAUCUAGGAUUUUCAUAACUAAAAAAGAGAAGUCAGUGCCUGGCUUUAAAGCUUCAAAGAACAGGCUAACUCUUUUGUUGGGGGCUAAUGCAGCUUGUGACUUUAAGUUGAAGCUAAUGCUCACUCACCAUUCAGAAAAUCCUAGGGCCCUUAAGAAUUAUGCUAAAUCCACUUUGCCUGUGCUCAAAAAUGGAACAAAGAAGCCUGAAUGAUAGCACAUUUGUUUACAAUAUGGCUUACUGAAUAUUUUAACCCCACAGUGGAGAUCUACUGCUCAGAAAAAAGAUUCCUUUCAAAAUAUUACUGCUCAUUGACAAUGCACCUGGUCAGAAAAGAGUUAUGAUGAAAAUGUACAAUGAGAUUGAUGUUUUCAUGCUUGCUAAUGCAAUAUCCAUUCUGCAGCCCACGGAUCAAGGAGUAAUUUUGAUUUUCAAGUUUUUUAAAAAAAGACUUUCAAGUCUUUGAUUUUUAAGCAUUUAAGAAAUACAUUUAGUAAAGCUAUAGCUGCCAUAGCUAUAGCUAUGAUUCUUUUGAUGGGUCUGGGUAAACAGAAAACCUUCUGGAAAGGAUUUGUCAUCCUGGAUGCCAUUAAGAACAUUCAUGAUUUAUGGGGAGAUAAAAAAUAUCAACAUUAACAUUAACAGGAGCUGGAAGAAGUUGAUUCCAUCGCCCAUGGAUGACUUGGAGGGGUUCAAGACUUCAGGGGAGGAAGUAACAGCAGAUGUGGUAGGACUAGCAAGGGAACUAGAAUUAGAAGUGAAACCUGAAGAUGUAACUGAAUUCCUGCAAUCUCAUGAUAAAACUUUAACAGAUGAGGAGUUGCUUCUUACAAGAGCAAAGAAAAUGGGAUAGAAAUGGAUGAGAUAGAAACCGCUCCUGCUGAAGAUUCUGUUAAGAUUGUUAAAAUGAUAACAACGGAUUUGGAAUAUUACAUAAAUUUAGUUGAUUGUAUAGUAGGGUUCGAAAGGAUUGAUUCCAAUUUUGAAAGAUGUUCUAUUGUGAGUAAAUGCUAUCAAAAAGAAUCUCACACUACAGAAAAAUUGUUCAUAAACGGUAGUGUCAAUCACCGUGGUAAAUUUUAUUGUCUUUUUAAAGAAACUGCCAUAGCGAUCCCAGCUUGCAACAACCACCACCCUGAUCACUCAACAGCCAUUCAAUCUUGAGGCAAGAUCCUCUACCAGCAAAAAGAUUACAACUCAUGGAAAGUUAAGACAAUGGUCAGCAUUUUUUAGCAAUUCAGUAUUUUUUUAAUUAAGGUAUAUACACUGUUUUUUUUUUUAGAUAUAAGCUUCAUAAACUACAGUAUAAACAUAACCUUGAUAUGCACUAGAAAACCAAGAAACACAUUUGACUCACUUUAUUGCAAUAUUCACUUUACUGCGAUGGUCUGGAACUGAACCCAUAUUAUCCCCAAAGUAUGCCUGUUUUUUAUACAUAUUCCUACCUUCCUAAGUAGAAAAGCAAAGAAAAAUUUUAACUUUACUCGUAAUUCCAGCACAUCCAAAAUGAUACCCUAUAAUAAUAUCAUUUUGUAUCUCUAAUUGUUUUAUUAGAUUCCUCUUUAAAUGGAGGUCGUUUCUUUUCUAUUCAAAUACUUUUAUAAAUACCUAUAUUCGGGUAUUGCUUCUUAGCUUUUUUGUUCUAAGAAACUAGAAAACUAUGUUAAGAGUAGAUCAAGUUAGUGAAGGUCUGAGGAGAAAAGGAGUUGCUGUAAUACAAGAGCUUUGUGGUUAAGUAUUUUCCGUGCUCUAGGUCUUUAUAUUAUUUUACCUCAGUAUUAGGAGUUGUACUCAAAUGGCUACUUGUGCUAAAAUUUAUUUCCUAUCAAAAGUGGGGAGGUCAGUUAAAUAUAAAUUUUCCUAGGUAGCUAAAAUGGGAUUCAAAUUUUAUAAGAUAAGAGUGAAUCACAUACAAUUGUUCACAAGGAAAUUAACAUGCUGAAACUGAGGCUUUUAUAGCUGACUCCAAAGAAAUCCAAAGGAUUUCAUUUUGAAACUUCUUUUCAGAUCUAUAUGUCUAACUCAUAACAACAGGAAAUAAGAAAACAUUAUGUCUUCUUUCUUUCAAUUUACAUCCAAAGGAAUUCUCAGAAUACAAAGUAUUUUUUACUCUGAUAUAAAAAGCCUAGACACUCCUUUAAAUUUUAGGAUGUCCUUAAUGAAUCUAGUCUUUCAUGGCAAGAAGUAUUGCUUUCCACAGCUAUUCAUUCACAUUCUCUAAAGAAGUAGUUUAGCUAAACUAAAUAUCAAAACUGGUUAAGAUGCUCUGAAACUCUUUUACAGACAUGGUACAUGGCUUUUUAAAAGAAACAUAAUCUGAAUAACUGAAGUCACCUGUAAUAACAGGCAAGGCAUAAACAAAAUCAAACUAGCUUAAAAGCUUUCCAAAAAUUAAACAAGGGUUUCUGAAUCUUAUGUAAUUUUGUAGGGGCUAAGUAUGUAGCCUUAGAUAAAUUUGCUUGAAUAACCUUCUAUCAAGAGGAAUAUGUGCAUAUCGUUGUAAAAUCAAGAACAAAAAUACACGGGCAGCCCGGGUGGCUCAGCAUUUAGCACCUGCCUUUGGCCCAGGGCAUGAUCCUGAAGACCUGGGAUCGAGUCCCAUGUCAGGCUCCUUGCAUGGAGCCUGCUUCUCCCUCCUCCUGUGUCUCUGCCUCUCUCUCUCUCUCUCUCUCUCUCUCUCUCUCUCUCUCAGUGUCUCUCAUUAAUAAAUAAAAUCUUAAAAAAAAGAAAAGAAAAAUACAAAAAGAGUAAAGCUUUGAAUAAAAUAUUUUUUUCUUAAAGAAAUGCCUUCUACAUGUUACACCUGUGAGAAACAUAUUGUGAUUUUGUGCAUAAAUUAUGCAUACUCUUAAUAACAACAGAUAUAUUGGUGCUUACAAUGGGGCCAACUAUAUUCUAAAUGCUUUGCUUUUAAAUAGCUCAGUCUUUAAAAGGCCCUAUAAGUUAGGUACUAUAAUAGUCAAACCCAGUUUUGCAGAUAGGAAAUUCAGGUGCACAGAAGUUAAAGCUGUCCAAGGUCCCACAACGAGAAAGUAGAGGCAUUGUUUAAUAAAUAGAAGAGCUGUUAAUAUAACGUAAAGAUAUCUUAGUAUACUAUAUAGUAUGAAUUCUGAAAUACAAAAUGUUGAAUACAGUGUAAAAAUGGAGUAAUGAACAUUUUUAAUUCAAUAAUUUAAACAUCACAUGAAACAAACUAGAAAUAGAAGGGAAGUUCCUCAAUCUGAUAAAAGGCAUCUAUGAAAAACCCACAGCUAUCAUCAUACAUAAUAGUGAGAGACUACAUGCUUUCCCCCUUAAGAUGAGGAACAAAAUUUUCAGCACUUAUAUUCAGUAUUGUACCAGGGUUUCUAGCCAGGGCAAUUAAGGAAGAAAAAGAAAGAAAAGACAGUCAAGUCAAAUUUGAAAAGAAAAUGUAAACUGAUCUUUAUUUACAGAGGACAUGAUAUUAUAUAGAGAGAAUCCUAAAGAAUUACUAGAAUAGAGGAGCUCAGUAAGGUAUCAGGGUAAAAGACCUAUAUAGAAAAGUCAAUUGUAUGUCAAUACAAUCUGAAAAUGAAAUUAAGAAAACAAUUCUAUUUACAUUAGCAUAAAACAGAGAUAAAAUUUUUUUAAAAGUGUAAGACUUAAAGAUUUGAUAAUACUGUUCUAAGAUAUUAAAGGAAACCCAAAUUAAAGGAUAUGCUACAUUUCUGAAUCAAAAGACUUAACACUUUUAAGAUGAUAAUAUUCCUGAAAAUGAUCUAUAGAUUCAAUACAAUCUGUAAAAAUUUCCAGCUGUUAAUUGUAUAGAAUUGACACAAUGAUUAGGAUUUCACAGAGAAAGGCAGGAAUAACCAAAACAGUCUCGCAAAAGAAGAACAAAGUUAGAGAAUGUAUACUUCACGUAAUCAACAUAAUGUGGUACUGGCAUAAGGAUAGACAGACAUGCAGAUUAAUAGAACAGAACUAUGAGUCACAAAAUAAACCCUUACAUUUAUGGUCAUUUGGUUUUUGACAAAGAAAUUAAGAUCAUUCACAGGAAUAGAAUUAUCGUUUCAAUAAAUGGUGGUGGGUUCAACUGGAGAUCCAUAUGAAAAAUAACAAAACUGGACUCCUUCCUUACACCAUAUACAGAUAUUAACUUAAAACUGAUCAUAAACUUUAGUGUAAGAGCUAAAACUAUAGUACUCUUAACAGAAAACAGGAAUAAAAUAUUUGUAACCUUAGGCAAAGCCUUCUUUAAAUAUGACACCAACAGCACAAGAAAAGAAAAAAUAAUAAAUUGGACUUCACCAAACUCAGGAACAUUUGUGCUGUAGAGGAUACCAUCAAGAAAAUGAAAAGAUAAUGUACAGGAUGGGAGAAAAUUUCUGUAAAUCAUGUAAUUGAUAAGGGACAACCCAAAUGUCCAUCAAUUUGGUGAAUGGAUAAACAAAAUGUGGUGUAUCUAUAUAUUGGGGUAUUGUUUAUCAAUAAAAAGGAAUGAAGUUUGGAUACAUACUAUAACAUGGAUAAUCUUCCAAACAUCAUGCUAAAUGAAAAAGCCAAUCACAAAAGACUACAUAUUAUAUGAUUCCAUUUGUAUGAAAUGUUCAGGAUAGGCAAAUCUAUACAAAAAGAUAGUAAAUCUGUGAUUUCUUAAAGUUUAGGAGGUGAGGGAGGCAACAGGGAGUGACCAUUAAUGGGUAUGGAUUACUGGGGAGUUAAGACAUUUCAGAACUGACUGUUUUGUUACACAUUUCUAUGAAUAUAUUUAAAGUCAUUGAAUUGUACACUUUGUUACUUUUAAAGAUUUUAUUUACUUAUUUGAGAGUGUGUGUGUGAGAAUGAGAAAGAGAGCAUGAGCAGGCGCGGGAGGAGCAGAGAGAGAGGAGUAGACUUGCUAUGGAGCAGAGAGCCGGAGAGGAAGUCAAUCCCAGGACCCUGGGAUCAUGAUCCGAGCCAAAGGCAGAUGUCCAACCAACUGAGCCACCCAGGGGCCCCUGAAUUAGGUGAAAUACAUGGUAUAAAUUUUAUCUCCAUAAAGCUGUUAAAAUAACUUAAAUGUCAUUUUUUAUCUUAUUUUAACUACUUGUAGAUAAUAUUUACCUAAGAUGGUGACCUUGGGAAAUGCUCUCUUUGUGAAAGAGAAUAAAAAAUUUAAAUCCUUUUUGUCAUGUGCUCAGUAGAUUGACCAAUACCAAGCAAGAGCAAUUCUAGUAUUCAACUAUUUCAGAUAAAAUGGUUUAAUAUUAAUCAAUGUGAAGCUAAAAUUAUUAACUUUUAAUUGUUUUUCUUGGAAAUAUAACUGAUUUAUAGCAAUGAUUUAAUAUGGGAAAUUAAUUCAUUUUUGCAACUUGGAGACACAUUAUAAAACUAACUUAU